RNAcentral lists this transfer RNA (73 nucleotides) under Picocystis salinarum. Its description in RNAcentral is "tRNA-Met". It matches the Rfam family "tRNA". Rfam says of the family: Transfer RNA (tRNA) molecules are approximately 80 nucleotides in length. Their secondary structure includes four short double-helical elements and three loops (D, anti-codon, and T loops). The record is from RNAcentral. Lineage: Eukaryota; Viridiplantae; Chlorophyta; Picocystophyceae; Picocystales; Picocystaceae.
CGCGGGAUGGAGUAAUGGGUAACUCGUCAGGCUCAUGAUCUGAAGCAUGUAGGUUCGAGUCCUACUCCCGCCA